This 439-nucleotide long non-coding RNA is filed under the name Heterocephalus glaber (naked mole-rat). RNAcentral describes it as "lncRNA (ENSHGLG00000043867.1)". The record is from RNAcentral. Lineage: Eukaryota; Metazoa; Chordata; Mammalia; Rodentia; Bathyergidae.
UGUGCCCGUGCGCAUGCGCACUGGGAAAGAAAAUGGACUCAAUGGGAGGACUUGCGCAGAUACCAGGACCCUCUGCUCUGAGCCACAAUGAAGAACUUUCCCAGACUAGGCAAGCCCAGGUACUACUGAAACAAAAGUGAGAGCAGAGCCAUCCCUGUGCCGACAGGAGCUUCUAAAGUUAAUAACAGUGUUGGACAUUGGUGCCAGUUAUAGAUACAGAGGCGUAACAAGUGGAGAAGAGGAAGGAUAUGCUUUUAUCAGUGCCCACCAUGUGCCAGAUAAAAUGAAUUGGCUCAUUGGAAAUAUGCUAAUGACCCUGCCAGACUCCAGCAUGAUGAGCAAUUUGGAACGCUGCCCUCUUGCCCACUGUGAUGGAGUGACUAUGCGGUCAGAGGUGUGGAGAGAAGAGAGGGCACAGGAGGACCAGUGAGGAGAGAGG